ACUCCUGCGGGAGGCAGCAGUGGGGAAUUUUGGACAAUGGGCGAAAGCCUGAUCCAGCAAUGCCGCGUGAGUGAAGAAGGCCUUCGGGUUGUAAAGCUCUUUUGUCAGGGAAGAAACGGUGAAAGCUAAUAUCUUUUGCUAAUGACGGUACCUGAAGAAUAAGCACCGGCUAACUACGUGCCAGCAGCCGCGGUAAUACGUAGGGUGCAAGCGUUAAUCGGAAUUACUGGGCGUAAAGCGUGCGCAGGCGGUUUUGUAAGUCUGAUGUGAAAUCCCCGGGCUCAACCUGGGAAUUGCAUUGGAGACUGCAAGGCUAGAAUCUGGCAGAGGGGGGUAGAAUUCCACGUGUAGCAGUGAAAUGCGUAGAUAUGUGGAGGAACACCGAUGGCGAAGGCAGCCCCCUGGGUCAAGAUUGACGCUCAUGCACGAAAGCGUGGGGAGCAAACAGGAUUAGAUACCCCUGUAGUCCCAUG
RNAcentral lists this ribosomal RNA (473 nucleotides) under uncultured organism. RNAcentral describes it as "partial 16S ribosomal RNA". It matches the Rfam family "Bacterial small subunit ribosomal RNA", at positions 335 to 799 of the family's 1533-position model. The record is from RNAcentral.